This 465-nucleotide ribosomal RNA is filed under the name uncultured bacterium. RNAcentral's name for it is "bacterial SSU rRNA". It matches the Rfam family "Bacterial small subunit ribosomal RNA", at positions 917 to 1382 of the family's 1533-position model. The record is from RNAcentral.
GGGCCCGCACAAGCGGAGGAACAUGUGGUUUAAUUCGAUGAUACGCGAGGAACCUUACCCGGGCUUGAAAUGCAUCUGACCGGCCUUGAAAGAGGCUUUCCCUUCGGGGCAGAUGUGUAGGUGCUGCAUGGUUGUCGUCAGCUCGUGCCGUGAGGUGUCGGCUUAAGUGCCAUAACGAGCGCAACCCUCAUCAUUAGUUACCAUCAGGUCAAGCUGGGGACUCUAAUGAGACUGCCAUCGUAAGAUGUGAGGAAGGUGGGGAUGACGUCAAAUCAGCACGGCCCUUACGUCCGGGGCGACACACGUGUUACAAUGGGUGGUACAAAGGGCAGCUACAUGGCGACAUGAUGCUAAUCUCCAAAACCACUCUCAGUUCGGAUCGGAGUCUGCAACUCGACUCCGUGAAGCUGGAUUCGCUAGUAAUCGCGCAUCAGCCACGGCGCGGUGAAUACGUUCCCGGGCCUU